This 253-nucleotide ribosomal RNA is filed under the name uncultured bacterium. RNAcentral's name for it is "partial 16S ribosomal RNA". It matches the Rfam family "Bacterial small subunit ribosomal RNA", at positions 524 to 776 of the family's 1533-position model. The record is from RNAcentral.
UACAGAGGCCCCAAGCGUUACUGAGAAUCACUGGGUUUAAAGGGUGCGUAGGUGGUGCGUUAAGUCCGUUGUGAAAUCCCCGAGCUCAACUCGGGAACUGCUUCGGAUACUGGCGCACUUGAGGCCGGUAGGGGUCACUGGAACAGACGGUGGAGCGGUGAAAUGCGUAGAUAUCGUCUGGAACGCCGGUGGUGAAGACGGGUGACUGGGCCGGUUCUGACACUGAGGCACGAAAGCGUGGGGAGCGAACGGG